RNAcentral lists this long non-coding RNA (829 nucleotides) under Podarcis lilfordi (Lilford's wall lizard). Lineage: Eukaryota; Metazoa; Chordata; Lepidosauria; Squamata; Lacertidae. The record is from RNAcentral.
CCCUUCCCAGAGAGAAAUGGGCAGCUUGGUGGCACUCAGCCCUGGUGGUCUCCUGCCCCGUGGCAGCAAGCUGACAAGCGGAAGGAGGCAAUCGCCUGGUGCUGGGAUGCUGUGGAGCAAGGAGAAGGCAAGUACAAAGUUUACUUGCUGGUGAGAUCGCUACCUGAAGGCAACGGAUAUUCAGCUCUGAAGCUGGUUGAUGUCUGGCAAUGGACCUGGCGAGGCUGCAGCUGGUGGGUGGUUGUUGGAAGAGUUUGCGUUCAGGCUAGUGGAUGCCGUGAGGCUACGCUGGCUGAGAUGGAUGCAAAGUGGUUUGGAAGCCUUGUUUGUUAACAGGCAGCCAAACAGAGGAGGAGUCUGGGGGGACGCUGUUGGAUGGGGGCCAUCCCACUCACCUGUUUGCCUUUGCCUUACAGGGAUGUCCGGAGCCGGUGAGGUUUUCCCCAAGUCCAGCCUUCAAAGUCAUGAAGAGAACUGCAGGACGUCCCAAUUUACGUUGGAGAAAUGAACGUGAAAUACUGGGAGUGAACAAUGGACAAGGCCGUGGCCGUACCUGAGAGAAGGAACUUUGAAGGAAGACUGCAGGCAGACAUCUGCUGCAUUGCAAGUGAUGGGGCAGUGGGAAGAGAGAAGAAAAUGAGGCAGGAAACAUUAGGCCACAUUAGGCGCACCGUCCAUUGGAAGUGCUAUGAAGACGCUUUGAACAGGAAUGGCUUCCCCUCAGGGAUUCUGGGAACUGUAGGUGGUUAAGGGGACAGAGAGUUGUUAGGUGGCUUAGUCUUAGGCUUAGGCUUAGGCUUAGGGGUAGGGGUAUGGAUUAGGAGUAGGG